This 88-nucleotide microRNA precursor is filed under the name Echinops telfairi (small Madagascar hedgehog). RNAcentral's name for it is "miRNA (ENSETEG00000023883.1)". Lineage: Eukaryota; Metazoa; Chordata; Mammalia; Afrosoricida; Tenrecidae. The record is from RNAcentral.
AUGUGUGUGCAUGCCUGUGUGUUUGUACAGAUCUGUAUAGAGAGAUAAAUACUCACACACACACACACACACACACACACACACACGC